CUGGGUUUGACAUGCACCAGACGCGUUCAGAGAUGGGCGUUCCCUUGUGGUUGGUGUGCAGGUGGUGCAUGGCUGUCGUCAGCUCGUGUCGUGAGAUGUUGGGUUAAGUCCCGCAACGAGCGCAACCCUCGUUCCAUGUUGCCAGCGCGUGAUGGCGGGGACUCAUGGGAGACUGCCGGGGUCAACUCGGAGGAAGGUGGGGAUGACGUCAAGUCAUCAAGCCCCUUAUGUCCAGGGCUUCACACAUGCUACAAUGGCUCAUACAGAGGGCUGCGAGACCGUGAGGUGGAGCGAAUCCCUUAAAGUGGGUCUCAGUUCGGAUCGGGGUCUGCAACUCGACCCCGUGAAGUCGGAGUCGCUAGUAAUCGCAGAUCAGCAAUGCUGCGGUGAAUA
This 393-nucleotide ribosomal RNA is filed under the name uncultured bacterium. RNAcentral's name for it is "bacterial SSU rRNA". It matches the Rfam family "Bacterial small subunit ribosomal RNA", at positions 975 to 1368 of the family's 1533-position model. The record is from RNAcentral.